UACGGAGGGGGCUAGCGUUGUUCGGAAUUACUGGGCGUAAAGCGCGCGUAGGCGGCUAUUUAAGUCAGAGGUGAAAGCCCGGGGCUCAACCCCGGAACUGCCUUUGAGACUGGAUAGCUAGAAUCUUGGAGAGGCGGGUGGAAUUCCGAGUGUAGAGGUGAAAUUCGUAGAUAUUCGGAAGAACACCAGUGGCGAAGGCGGCUCGCUGGACAAGUAUUGACGCUGAGGUGCGAAAGCGUGGGGAGCAAACAGG
Molecule: ribosomal RNA, 253 nt
Filed under: uncultured Sphingomonadaceae bacterium
Lineage: Bacteria; Pseudomonadati; Pseudomonadota; Alphaproteobacteria; Sphingomonadales; Sphingomonadaceae
Description: partial 16S ribosomal RNA
Rfam family: Bacterial small subunit ribosomal RNA
Source: RNAcentral